UUAUGACCAUAUCAUGUUGAAACACCAUUACUCAUCUGAUCACUGAACUUAAGCAAUGCUGAGCCUGGUCAGUACCUAGAUAGGUGACCACUAGGGAAUAUCAGGUGCUGUAAG
RNAcentral lists this ribosomal RNA (114 nucleotides) under Acanthosepion pharaonis. The record is from RNAcentral. Lineage: Eukaryota; Metazoa; Mollusca; Cephalopoda; Sepiida; Sepiidae.